This 492-nucleotide ribosomal RNA is filed under the name uncultured bacterium. Its description in RNAcentral is "partial 16S ribosomal RNA". It matches the Rfam family "Bacterial small subunit ribosomal RNA", at positions 29 to 507 of the family's 1533-position model. The record is from RNAcentral.
AGUGAACGCUGGCGGUAGGCCUAACACAUGCAAGUCGAACGGCAGCACAGUAAGAGCUUGCUCUUACGGGUGGCGAGUGGCGGACGGGUGAGGAGUACAUCGGAAUCUACUUUUUCGUGGGGGAUAACGUAGGGAAACUUACGCUAAUACCGCAUACGACCUACGGGUGAAAGCAGGGGAUCUUCGGACCUUGCGCGAUUGAAUGAGCCGAUGUCGGAUUAGCUAGUUGGCGGGGUAAAGGCCCACCAAGGCGACGAUCCGUAGCUGGUCUGAGGGGAUGAUCAGCCACACUGGAACUGAGACACGGUCCAGACUCCUACGGGAGGCAGCAGUGGGGAAUAUUGGACAAUGGGCGCAAGCCUGAUCCAGCCAUACCGCGUGGGUGAAGAAGGCCUUCGGGUUGUAAAGCCCUUUUGUUGGGAAAGAAAAGCAGCAGGUUAAUACCCCGCUGUUCUGACGGUACCCAAAGAAUAAGCACCGGCUAACUUCGUG